This 333-nucleotide ribosomal RNA is filed under the name Thalassiosira angulata. RNAcentral's name for it is "SSU rRNA". It matches the Rfam family "Eukaryotic small subunit ribosomal RNA", at positions 627 to 961 of the family's 1831-position model. Lineage: Eukaryota; Bacillariophyta; Thalassiosirophyceae; Thalassiosirales; Thalassiosiraceae. The record is from RNAcentral.
CUCGUAGUUGGAUUUCUGGCAGGAGCGACCGGUCACACACUCUGUGUGUGAACUUGUGUUGUCUCUGGCCAUCCUCGGGGAGAUCCUGUUUGGCAUUAAGUUGUCGGGCAGGGGAUACCCGUCGUUUACUGUGAAAAAAUUAGAGUGUUUAAAGCAGGCUUAUGCCGUUGAAUAUAUUAGCAUGGAAUAAUAAGAUAGGACUUCGGAACUAUUUUGUUGGUUUGCGUUACGAAGUAAUGAUUAAUAGGGACAGUUGGGGGUAUUCGUAUUUCGUUGUCAGAGGUGAAAUUCUUGGAUUUCCGAAAGACGAACUACUGCGAAAGCAUUUACCAA